This 265-nucleotide unclassified non-coding RNA is filed under the name plant metagenome. Its description in RNAcentral is "partial contains small subunit ribosomal RNA and internal transcribed spacer 1". The stretch from base 1 to 46 matches the Rfam family "Eukaryotic small subunit ribosomal RNA", at positions 1786 to 1831 of the family's 1831-position model. The record is from RNAcentral.
AAGUCGUAACAAGGUUUCCGUAGGUGAACCUGCGGAAGGAUCAUUAGAAUGAGAGCCGGACCAUGUCGUGGGCGAAAGCCCAAACAGUGCCAGUAAGCGCCCGCUAAACCUCCAACCCUUCGUCAUAUUAUUCUUUUGUUUGCUUUUGGUUGGGGCCUGGGCCAAGCCAUUCGGGCUUGGAGCACCGGCUUCGGCUGGAGAGUGCCUGCCAGAGGACCCAACUCUGUAAUUUAGUGAUGUCUGAGUACUAUUAAAUAGUUAAAAA